This 1433-nucleotide ribosomal RNA is filed under the name uncultured bacterium. RNAcentral describes it as "partial 16S ribosomal RNA". It matches the Rfam family "Bacterial small subunit ribosomal RNA". The record is from RNAcentral.
UACGUGAAGCAAGCUUGCUUGCUUUGACGACGACCGGCGCACGGGUGAGUAACGCGUAUCCAACCUGCCCCUUACUACGGGACAGCCCGGCGAAAGUCGGAUUAAUACCGUAUGUGGUGUGAAGAGGGCAUCUGACUUACACUAAAGAUUCGUCGGUAAGGGAUGGGGAUGCGUCCGAUUAGGUUGUCGGCGGGGUAACGGCCCACCGAGCCCGCGAUCGGUAGGGGUUCUGAGAGGAAGGUCCCCCACACUGGAACUGAGACACGGUCCAGACUCCUACGGGAGGCAGCAGUGAGGAAUAUUGGUCAAUGGGCCGAGGAGCCCUGGAACCAGGCACCAACGGUAGCGUCGCAGGGAAGACUGCCCUAUGGGUUGUAAACCUCUUUAGUCUGGGAAUAAAGUUGGCGACGUGUCGCCUUUUGUAGGUACCAGAAGAAUAAGGACCGGCUAAUUCCGUGCCAGCAGCCGCGGUAAUACGGAAGCGUCCGGGCGUUAUCCGGAUUUAUUGGGUUUAAAGGGAGCGCAGGCGGCCUGUUAAGCGGGCAGUUAAAGGCGGUGGCUCAACCAUCGUUAGCUGUCCGAACUGAUAGGCUUGAGUACGUGCGAGGUAUGCGGAAUUCGUGGUGUAGCGGUGAAAUGCUUAGAUAUCACGAAGAACCCCGAUUGCGAAGGCAGCAUACCAGUGCGCCACUGACGCUAAAGCUCGAAAGCGCGGGUAUCGAACAGGAUUAGAUACCCUGGUAGUCCGCGCGGUAAACGAUGGAUGCCCGCUGUGCGGCCUUUAGUGGUUGCGCGGCCAAGCGAAAGCGUUAAGCAUCCCACCUGGGGAGUACGCCGGCAACGGUGAAACUCAAAGGAAUUGACGGGGGCCCGCACAAGCGGAGGAACAUGUGGUUUAAUUCGAUGAUACGCGAGGAACCUUACCCGGGCUUGAAUUGCAGCUGCAUGGGGCAGAGAUGUCCCUUCCCUGUCGGGGCUGCUGUGAAGGUGCUGCAUGGUUGUCGUCAGCUCGUGCCACGUGAGGUGUCGGCUGGUGAAAGUUGCCGCAACGAGGCGCAACCCUUCGUGUUUAGUUGCCAACGUUGAGUUUGGAACCCUGAGCAGACUGCCGGUGAUAAGCCGGAGGAAGGUUUGAGGAUGACGUCAAGUCAUCAUGCCCCUUACGCCCUGGGCGACACACGUGCUACAAUGGCCGGGACAAAGGAUCGCGAUCCCGCGAGGGUGAGCUAACUCCAAAAACCCGUCCUCAGUUCGGAUUGUAGGCUGCAACUCGCCUGCAUGAAGCCGGAAUCGCUAGUAAUCGCCGGUCAGCCAUACGGCGGUGAAUUCGUUCUCGGGCCUUGUACACACAGCCCGUCACACUAUGGGAGCUGGCCAUGCCCGAAGUCGUUACCUUAACCGCAAGGAGGGGGAUGCCGAAGGCAGGGCUAGUG